GAUUAACGCUGGCGGCGUGCAUAACACAUGCAAGUCGAACGAUGAAACUUUACUGACUUCUUCGGAAUGAUUUAAAGCGGAUUAGUGGCGAACGGGUGAGUAACGCGUGAGUAACCUGCCUUACACAAGGGGAUAGCCUCUGGAAACGGAGAAUAAUACCCUAUGAAACCAGACAAUCGCAUGAUAAUCUGGUCAAAAUGUUUAGUGGUGUAAGAUGGACUUGCGUCUGAUUAGCUAGUUGGUGAGAUAAAAGCUCACCAAGGCAACGAUCAGUAGCCGGCUUGAGAGAGUGUACGGCCACAUUGGGACUGAGACACGGCCCAGACUCCUACGGGAGGCAGCAGUGGGGAAUUUUGCACAAUGGGGGAAAACCUGAUGCAGCGACGCCGCGUGAUUUAGAAGGCCUUCGGGUUGUAAAAAUCUUUUGUAUAGGAAGAAAAUGACAGUACUAUACGAAUAAGGUCCGGCUAAUUACGUG
Molecule: ribosomal RNA, 478 nt
Filed under: uncultured bacterium
Lineage: Bacteria
Description: partial 16S ribosomal RNA
Rfam family: Bacterial small subunit ribosomal RNA
Source: RNAcentral